UGCCAGGGGAAAUGUUACCUAUGACUUGA
Molecule: non-coding RNA, 29 nt
Filed under: Mus musculus (house mouse)
Lineage: Eukaryota; Metazoa; Chordata; Mammalia; Rodentia; Muridae
Source: RNAcentral